This is a long non-coding RNA of Macadamia integrifolia, 3366 nucleotides long. RefSeq lists it as uncharacterized. The record is from RefSeq and is a predicted model, not a curated record. The transcript is spliced from 2 exons. Lineage: Eukaryota; Viridiplantae; Streptophyta; Magnoliopsida; Proteales; Proteaceae.
GUAAUAAGUUUUAAAAAUGCUUCCACCUCUCCAUUCUCUCCCUUAAAUGUCUGUAUCGUCCCUCAACCUUCCCUUCCCUGCCCUCUUCCUUAAAACGAUGGACCUUUCCCCAGUGCCCCUCCCCAUCCUUCUCUUUUCUCCCGUUCUUCUCAGACAAACGCUAUCGAUCUCUCCCAAAAAUAAGCAUGCACACUUCGUUUAUUUCACCAUCUUCAUUUCACUUUAAAGAAUGCUUUACGAUGGCAGAAGAUCCAGCCCUGAACCAGUGAUUAACCCAUCUCCUUAUCCUCCUUCCCUGUUCCAAUUCCCAAUUCUACAUGUUCUUUGUGAUAGAAUCCUCAAAAUCUUUGUUUGCAGGAAGGCUACGCAACGAUGGUGAUGUUUAAGGUGUCCCUUGUUGAAACUUCCAUCAAUGGCCAAAAGACAGGAACCUCUUAUUAAAGGAAGAAGAAGAAGAUAGCUACUGCCAUCUCUCUUUUUGGCACUCACUAAGGUUUUUUCAUUUUUUCCCCUUUUAUUAGGUACACGAAUAUAAUGUCUAAUUAUAGAGAUAAAGGUAGAAUAAAAGGAAGGAAAAGUUUGACAAAUAUAUAACUAGAUGUCUUUCGACUUAACAUAUUUAUCUCAUAGUUGAAUGAGCACUUCUUAUGAAAUUACCAGCAAGCUCACGCAUUAUCUUAAGAAUCUAAUUCAUACAAAUCAUGUAAUUUUGCUUUAUUUAUUCGAUUGACUAAUAUCAUACGUUGCUAUCUUUGCUAUAUAAUAAAAGCACCUUCGUGCAUUGCACGUUCUCUAGUAAUAGGAUUACCUAUUUUAUUUGAUUGGAGACAAAUUUGUGGGUUACCAAUUUUAUUUGAUUGGAGAAAAAUUGGUCAACUUUUUUGGGUAAGUAGGUGAGUGAUUGGGAAAAGCAUAAGGUCAUGACUCAUAGGAUGGAUUUGGGAUAAUUUUUUAAGCGUGGUGAUUUGAUUACCUGAACCCUCAUCAAUUUUAUCUCUUGAUUUACACCUCUAAUUAGGAAAGUUUAUAGAUUGAUUAAUAUUCUUUCUCCAAAAUUUUAGGUAACCAUUAUCAAUCAUUAUUUUUACUAUUUUGAAAAAAAGAAGAGAAAAAAGUGAGAAGAAAAGAGAAAGAUAAAAGAGAUACUAGUUACAGCCUUCCUACAACUUGUUUCCAUUGGAAAAGAAGUGGAAGAGUAAAAGGCCUCAUAACCUAGGUUGCAUCCAACAUCGGUUUACCCUCCUAGGAAGAGCUUGAAGACCCUUAUCUGAGGGGUGAAUCUAGCUACUUUGUCAAACAGUGAGUAGAACCAUCAUACUCACUCUACAUGUUUUGUUUUAUCUCAAAGAAAUGCUUAAGACUUUGCAGCCUUGUAGUUGACAUAUCGUAUGUAAUUUUUCUACUCUUUAUCCCUUUUGUAUUUUAAUGAGAAUAUGUUUUUGGUGUAUGCAUGUAUGUUAAUCUUUUCUUUCAAUACCUUGUGGAUAUAUAUAUAUAUAUAUAUUGCAUGCUAUAUUAUAUAUUAAGUUUUAGCGGUUGAUUGGUAUUCACCCUUGAUCUAUACUAUGUUAUUUUGAAUUUGAUUCUAAGGGGUUGUUGAGUGUUAUUCUUGAUGGAUUCUAUGUUAUAUAAAUAUUCCAUGUCAGGUAUUUUUUUAGUGAAAAUUUUAGGGGCUGUUAUUACUACUAAUCAAUCAUUUUCAUUCCAUUCUAAUUGAUCCAUGUUAGGUACUUUUUUAAUGAUGAUUUUAGGGGCUGUUUGUACAACUAAUUAAUUAUUAUCAUUCCAUUUAAAAUGAUAAAUGAUAGGACUGUUUUAGUGAUGAUUUUAGGGGUUGUUAGCACUAUGAAUUAAUCAAAUCUAUUUCUUUCUAAAUAUUUGUUAGCAUUUCUUUUUGAAUCAAACAUAUAUCAUAUUGGUUUUGAUGAUUAAGGACUGUAUAAUGUUCCAUUUAGUAAAUUGUGCCCUAUUCUAAUUUAUGAUUUGUAGGGACUGUUUUGGUACUUUCUCUUAAUUAAAUCGAUUCUAUUUUGGUUCUAUGAUGAUAAGGGCUGAUUUGUUGUUCCUUGCCAAUUAAAUAGAAAUUACCUGAAUUUGAUGGUUUUUAGGGUUAAACUUGGUUUCUCUAUUUGAUUAAAUCUAUGCUAUCACAAACUAGUAAUUUAGAGGCUGAUUUAGCAUUUCUUAUUGUUUUGAUUUAUUCCAUUAUGCUUAUAUGAAUUAGGGGUUACUUACAUAAUAAUGUGCAUUAUUGGAUGCAUAAGGGUUGAUUUCGUAAUUUUUUAUUACUAUAUGUGUUAGUAUAAUGCUUUUAAAUACUCUAAUACAUGAUGUGUGUGCAUGGGCUGGUGUAUUUUUUAAAUUAUGAAUGAGAAAUGAAUUGCUUAGUUUUUAAAAUUAUGUGUUAUUGCAUGUGUAAAAUGUACGCACAUGGCUAUUUGCUCCAUUUAAUGUGCAUUCAAAUGAUAGAAAUAAUGAAUGAGACUUAUAACAAUUGACACUUAGAAUUUUGGGACUAAGGUGGGAUGUAGGUUGUAUGGACCAUGGGUUCUAGUAUUGGCCACAGAACGUGUGGGACAUUCCAUAGAUUCAGCCCAUAGAGCAUGUGGUGCAAGUUACAUUUCCUUCCCUUGAAGUCACCCCCUUUUGUUUAUUGACCUACUUGGAUGUCAAGAUACACAUUGUCCAUAGAAUGUGUGUGAUGACGUAUGUACAAGCUACAAAGUGUGUGAGACAUCUAAGAAGAUUAUGUGUAAUGUUCGGGUACUUGGAUGUCAAGAUAUGCAUUGACCAUAGAACGUGUGGGAUGAUGUAUGAACAAUCCACAGAGCUUGUAAGGCAUCUAAGAGAACUUGGCUUUUAAUUUCGAUUUGGGUGUCAAGAUGUACAGUGGCCGCAGAGCGUGUGGGAUGACAUAUGUACAAGCCAUAGAGCGUGUGGGGCACUUGUGGAAUAAAGUAAAUGAACUAAUUAAAUGGACAUGAUUGAGAAUAACUAGACCUUGUAAACUACCAUAAAUGCUUCAUACUUGAUUUUAAGAUAUUAUUGCAUGUGUUAUUGUUCUAUGCCAAUGUUUUCAAACUUGUGGAUAUUGUAUGCGGGUUUAUUUGCUGAGUUUUUCCCCAGAAACUUAUCCAAAUCAUUCCCCAUAUGGAGAGCACUUUGACAUGCUAGUUGGUGGUGAGAACCAAGAGAUUGAUGGGGACGUGUAAAACAUUUAUUAUUUCAGUUGAUCUUAGAUCAUUUUAUUUAUCUUAGAGAUUUAAAUUAUGGAUGUAAUAAUUUUUCAUAAAGGAUUUAAUUUGUUGUGGAUGAUAUUAUUAAAUUUUGACUAAUUGGAGAAUUUUAUGAAUUUUUAAAUAUUAA